This 458-nucleotide ribosomal RNA is filed under the name uncultured bacterium. RNAcentral describes it as "partial 16S ribosomal RNA". It matches the Rfam family "Bacterial small subunit ribosomal RNA", at positions 338 to 795 of the family's 1533-position model. The record is from RNAcentral.
CCUACGGGAGGCAGCAGUGAGGAAUAUUGGUCAAUGGGCGAGAGCCUGAACCAGCCAAGUCGCGUGAGGGAGUACUGCCCUAUGGGUUGUAAACCUCUUUUGUCGGGGAGCAAAAGCCGGACGUGUCCGGCUGUGAGAGUACCCGAAGAAAAAGCAUCGGCUAACUCCGUGCCAGCAGCCGCGGUAAUACGGAGGAUGCGAGCGUUAUCCGGAUUUAUUGGGUUUAAAGGGUGCGUAGGCGGAAUGCCAAGUCAGCGGGAAAAUCGCGGGGCUCAACCUCGCUCCGCCGUUGACACUGGCGUGCUUGAGUGGGCGAGAAGUAUGCGGAAUGCGGGGUGUAGCGGUGAAAUGCAUAGAUAUCACGCAGAACUCCGAUUGCGAAGGCAGCAUACCGGCGCCCAACUGACGCUGAAGCACGAAAGCGUGGGUAUCGAACAGGAUUAGAUACCCUUGUAGUC